AACUGCGAUAAGUAAUGUGAAUUGCAGAAUUCAGUGAAUCAUCGAGUCUUUGAACGCACAUUGCGCCCCCUGGCAUUCCGGGGGGCAUGCCUGUCCGAGCGUCAUUGCUGCCCUUCAAGCCCGGCUUGUGUGUUGGGUCGUCGUCCCCCCCGGGGGACGGACCCGAAAGGCAGCGGCGGCACCGUGUCCGGUCCUCGAGCGUAUGGGGCUUUGUCACCCGCUCGAUUAGGAUCGGCCGGGCGCCCGCCGGCGUCAAACCCCCAAUCUUUCUAAGGUUGACCUCGGAUCAGGUAGGGAUACCCGCUGAACUUAAGC
Molecule: unclassified non-coding RNA, 315 nt
Filed under: plant metagenome
Description: partial contains 5.8S ribosomal RNA, internal transcribed spacer 2, and large subunit ribosomal RNA
Rfam family: 5.8S ribosomal RNA (bases 1-104)
Source: RNAcentral